AGGUAUUUAAAAGACUGCCCUGUUUCAGGAGAUUGACUUCUUUAUGGCUCCAGAAGGCAACAUUAGGACCAGCAGGUAGAAGGGAUGGAGGCAGAUGAUCAGCUCGAUAUCGGAAUGAAAGCUGCAACAGAUGGAAUGUAUUGAAGUUGGAGAGGGCUGCUGAUUGAGACCACCAGGGAUGUAGAAGAGGCUGUUGGGGAAGUUGUCAGGAGAUGACUGCACUGGCUAGGAGUUGAACGAGAAGGUUAUGCCCCUCUGGGAUGCUCAACGUGCUGUGUGUGGUUCUCUGCCCCCAUCCCUGCUUCCUGGGACCAGGCCAGCCAUGUGACUGCCUCCCUCCCCUGCGGGCAGCAGCAGAACAGCUUCGGCAGAAGGAUCUGAGGAUUUCCCAGCUGCAGGCUGAUCUCCGUCGCCCACCCCCUGCCCCUGCCCAGCCCCCCGAACCUGAGGCCCUGCCUACUAUCUAUGUUGUUACCCCCACCUACGCCAGGUACGGGCUCUGGUACGCCCAGGAGGCCUGGCACUGGCCAGGAGGUGGGGGUUGGGGAGGAGUCUGGGGAGUCACCGGGCCAGGGGGUGUUUCUCAAACUAGGGCAUGCCAAGUGACAGGAUAAAUGAGCCACAUCUUUCCUCAAAGAUGUGUGAGAAAAUGGUUGUUUUUCCAUUGAAAUGGACAGGGGUACACUGUGAAAUCGAAUACACAGCUCCUGCCAAAGUUUAAGAUAGAGCCAUAUAGUUUCAAAGAAACGUCGAGCUUGCCCGAGUUCACUCUCUCUCAGGGAUCCUUUGGGGAGAAAGCUUGAGCUCCCCUGACUCAAUUGAAAUAGAAAAGGCCUUGGCCUUAUGUCACACCAGUUACGCCAGCUGUGAUUUACAGUGUGUUUACUCUCUACCAGGCACUGUGCUAAGGGCUCUCCUUUUUUUUUUUUUAAUUUUUAAUGUUUAUGUAUUUCUGAGACAGAGAGAGACAGAGCAUGAGUGGGGGAAGGGCAGAGAGAGAGAGAGAGAGGGAGACACAGAAUCCGAAGCAGGCUCCAGGCUCUGAGCUGUCAGCGCAGGGCCCAACGCGGGGCUCGAACUCACAAACCGUGAGAUCAUGACCUGAGCCGAAGUCAGUCCCUCAACCGACUAAGCCACCCAGGCACUCCUACUUUUUUUUUUUUUUAUUAAAAUAUAGCUUUAUUAUUGAUACAAACCAACUGGGGAACAUGGUUUUGGGUCUGUCGCUAAAGAGCCUACUAACUCCUCCCUGGAAUCAGAUGGCUGACCCAUCUAGGCACAGCCAGCUGUCAACCCCGUCCCCUUACACACAUGCAGCACCAACCCUGGGACGGACAGACUGAUCUGAAGGAUCAAGAAGCCUAGAAGGAUAAACUGGGCCACACCUUCCCAGUUUCUUGUCUAAACUCUGGAAAAUUCCCUGGAGAGGAAGGAGGCAAAGGACUCCUCUAAAUACCUCUAUCUGGAAACCCAAACAUAGGAGGAAGAGGACCUGGUCCUAAGGGUAUUUUAGAAAGUCAUUAUAAUUUAAUCUUCAAGAUGACAUUGUUGUAAAGUACCGUUCAUCCCAUUUGAUAGCAGAGGAAACAGGUUUGGGGAGAUCUGACCCAUUUCCCCCCAGUGUCUUACCUAAUAAGUAACAGAACUGGCAUUCAAACCCAGAGCUGAUUCCAAAGCCUGUGCCCCUUAACGUGUAGUCUCCCACAGCCAGAGCCCUUGGGUUGAGGCGAGUGACAGACACGGGCUGUACGAACAGGGGAGGUGAAUGAAUGCAGUGUGAAAUUGACAAGCGAGAAAAGGAGUUUGGAUAUUGGCUGGGGAAAGACCACGGGGGAUACUAGAAGGGGCUCAGGCGAAGCUAUGUAUACUGGCUGGAGUGAGUAAACGGUGCCCACCCCUCGCCCUCCUCUUCAUCUCUCCCCCUGCAGGCUGGUGCAAAAAGCAGAGCUUGUGCGGCUGUCCCAGACGCUGAGCCUGGUGCCCCGGCUGCACUGGCUGCUGGUGGAGGAUGCUGAAGGCCCCAGCCCAUUGGUCUCUGGGCUGCUGGCGGCCUCGGGCCUCCUCUUCACACACCUGGCAGUCCUCACCCCCAAGGCCCAGCGGCUCAGGGAGGGUGAGCCAGG
Molecule: long non-coding RNA, 2123 nt
Filed under: Lynx pardinus (Iberian lynx)
Lineage: Eukaryota; Metazoa; Chordata; Mammalia; Carnivora; Felidae
Source: RNAcentral